RNAcentral lists this ribosomal RNA (492 nucleotides) under uncultured bacterium. Its description in RNAcentral is "partial 16S ribosomal RNA". It matches the Rfam family "Bacterial small subunit ribosomal RNA", at positions 29 to 507 of the family's 1533-position model. The record is from RNAcentral.
AGUGAACGCUGGCGGUAGGCCUAACACAUGCAAGUCGAACGGCAGCACAGUAAGAGCUUGCUCUUACGGGUGGCGAGUGGCGGACGGGUGAGGAAUACAUCGGAAUCUACUUUUUCGUGGGGGAUAACGUAGGGAAACUUACGCUAAUACCGCAUACGACCUACGGGUGAAAGCAGGGGAUCUUCGGACCUUGCGCGAUUGAAUGAGCCGAUGUCGGAUUCGCUAGUUGGCGGGGUAAAGGCCCACCAAGGCGACGAUCCGUAGCUGGUCUGAGAGGAUGAUAAGCCACACUGGAACUGAGACACGGUCCAGACUCCUACGGGAGGCAGCAGUGGGGAAUAUUGGACAAUGGGCGCAAGCCUGAUCCAGCCAUACCGCGUGGGUGAAGAGGGCCUUCGGGUUGUAAAGCCCUUUUGUUGGGAAAGAAAAGCAGCAGGUUAAUACCCCGCUGUUCUGACGGUACCCAAAGAAUAAGCACCGGCUAACUUCGUG